Molecule: unclassified non-coding RNA, 387 nt
Filed under: Hevea brasiliensis (rubber tree)
Lineage: Eukaryota; Viridiplantae; Streptophyta; Magnoliopsida; Malpighiales; Euphorbiaceae
Source: RNAcentral
AUGCAAACCUGUUAAGUUGAGUGGGCCUGUGAAGCUGUUUCCAUUUGAACCCUAUUUGCAGUAGCCAUCUCAUUAUGCUGUAGACUCAACCCCGUGAAGAGAGACUUCAGUUCUAGAAUAGCUUGAGAACUUCGAGAUUUCGCUUCUUGUUGCCAUACUACAUGUCUCUGUUCCCAUUUCUGAUCCAUUUCCUGCAACAUCAAAGCAACUUCUUUUUUCCAGUCAUGAGAUCUAGUGCCCUCUGCCAUUACCGAGGAUCUGAAGCUCUGAUACGAAUGAUACGAAUCAAGAUCAAGAAUGAAGAUUAGAGAAGAAGCAGUUACAAAAUAGAGAGAAGAAAGAAAAGAGAGGGAGAGGAGGUGUGUGGGGGGCAACUAAAUGAGGGAG